CGAGGGGCAGCGCGGGGUAGCAAUACUCUGGCGGCGACCGGCGGAAGGGUGCGUAACACGUGAGCGACUUGCCCGUCACAGGGAGAUAACCGGCGGAAACGGCGACUAAUAUCCCAUAUGAUCCGAAGCUACAUGGCGUCGGGUUGAAAGAUUCAUCGGUGACGGAUAGGCUCGCGGGACAUUAGCUGGACGGCGGGGCAACGGCCCACCGUGGCGACGAUGUCUAGGGGUUCUGAGAGGAAGAUCCCCCACACUGGAACUGAGACACGGUCCAGACUCCUACGGGAGGCAGCAGGGAGGAAUAUUGGUCAAUGGGCGGAAGCCUGAACCAGCCAUGCCGCGUGAAGGAAUAAGGCCCUAUGGGUCGUAAACUUCUUUAGACGCAGAGCAAUAAGGGUCUCGUGAGGCCCGAUGAGAGUAUGCGUAGAAUAAGCAUCGGCUAACUCCGUGCCAGCAGCCGCGGUAAUACGGGGGAUGCGAGCGUUAUCCGGAUUUAUUGGGUUUAAAGGGUGCGUAGGCGGCAAGGUAAGUCAGCGGUGAAAGACCAGGGCUCAACUCUGGAAGUGCCGUUGAUACUGUCUGGCUAGAAUGAUUCCGCCGUGGGAGGAAUGAGUAGUGUAGCGGUGAAAUGCAUAGAUAUUACUCAGAACACCGAUUGCGAAGGCAUCUCACGAGGGGUUCAUUGACGCUGAGGCACGAAAGCGUGGGGAUCGAACAGGAUUAGAUACCCUGGUAGUCCACGCAGUAAACGAUGAUGGCUAACUGUCGGGCCUUCGGGUUCGGCGGCCAAGCGAAAGCGAUAAGCCAUCCACCUGGGGAGUACGACCGCAAGGUUGAAACUCAAAGGAAUUGACGGGGGCCCGCACAAGCGGAGGAACAUGUGGUUUAAUUCGAUGAUACGCGAGGAACCUUACCCAGGCUCGAACGGCAUCUGAAUCGUCCAGAGAUGGGCGAGUCUUCGGACAGAUGUCGAGGUGCUGCAUGGUU
Molecule: ribosomal RNA, 987 nt
Filed under: human gut metagenome
Description: bacterial SSU rRNA
Rfam family: Bacterial small subunit ribosomal RNA
Source: RNAcentral